UACGUAGGGUGCAAGCGUUAAUCGGAAUUACUGGGCGUAAAGCGUGCGCAGGCGGUUGUGCAAGACCGAUGUGAAAUCCCCGGGCUUAACCUGGGAAUGGCAUUGGUGACUGCACGGCUAGAGUGUGUCAGAGGGGGGUAGAAUUCCACGUGUAGCAGUGAAAUGCGUAGAGAUGUGGAGGAAUACCGAUGGCGAAGGCAGCCCCCUGGGAUAACACUGACGCUCAUGUACGAAAGCGUGGGGAGCAAACAGG
RNAcentral lists this ribosomal RNA (253 nucleotides) under uncultured bacterium. RNAcentral's name for it is "partial 16S ribosomal RNA". It matches the Rfam family "Bacterial small subunit ribosomal RNA", at positions 524 to 776 of the family's 1533-position model. The record is from RNAcentral.